This is a long non-coding RNA of Equus asinus (donkey), 5553 nucleotides long. The record is from Ensembl. NCBI's taxonomy places the organism in Eukaryota, Metazoa, Chordata, Mammalia, Perissodactyla, Equidae.
GUGAAAUUUCAGUUGUGCAUGAUUUGUCAGUCAUCUUAUAGGUUUACCACUUCACCCCUUGUGCCCACCCCUUACCCCUCUUCCCUCUGGUAACCACUAAACAGUUCUCUUGUCCAUGUGUUUGUUUAUCUUCCACAUGAGUGAAAUCAUACAGUGUUUGUCUUUCUCUGUCUGGCUUAUCUCGCUUAACAUAAUACCCUCAAGGUCCAUCCAUGUGGUGGCAAAUGGGACAACUUUGUCUUUUUUUAUGGCUAUAGAAAUGUUUUUUUAAUCAGUAAAUAUGCCUAUCCUUUCCUUCUGAGCGUUCUGGAUAAGUUAAUAUUUUUUCUAAAUUACCUUCUGGUGUAUUUAUAGUUUUACUUUCUACAUUCCAACCUUCAAACUGUCUGAAAGUUACUCUUCACAUGAUGGGAGGAAGGGUCCAGCUGUGCUUGCCAUGUCCACACUCUGUGCCCGUUGCUAUUCCUGAAUGUUUUAGACAUCAUAGUUCGUCUAAUCCUCCCUGCAGCCCUGGGAGGAGUCAGCGUUCUGACCUCCAUUUCAUAGAUGGGGAAACUGAGGCUUAGGGAAUGUAGGUGAUUUGCUAAGGUCACGGGAAGUGGAGGAAAUAUACGUCUACCUGCUGUUUUGACUUCUUCUAUAGGAAAAAUCCCAUUCCGGGGGCCGGCCCCAAGGCUGAGUGGUUAAGUCCACACACUCCGCUUCGGUGGCCCAGGGUUCAAAUCCUGGGCGCGGAUGUGGCACCGCUCAUGGAGCCACACUGAGGGGGCGUCCCACAUGCCACAACUAGAAGGACCCACAACUAAUAUAUACAACUAUGUACUGGAGGGAUGUGGGGAGAAAAAAGCAGGGAAAAAAAGAAGAUUGGCAACAGUUGUUAGCUUAGAGGCCAAUCUUUAAAAAAAAAAAAAAUCCCAUUCUGGCUUUUUAUACAUUUUUCUAUUGGGUUGUGUGAUUUUUAAUCAUUACUGAUUUGUAGAAGUUCUUUAUAUAUUUUGGAGAUGAGCUAUUUUUAGUUACAUGUAUCACAGAUAUCUCCUCCCACUCUGUGGCCUGACUUUUUACUCUCUUAAUGGUGUAUUUAGAUUAAUAGAUUUCUUAAUUUAAAAAUAAUUAUAUGUUAAUAUGUACUAAGAAAUAUAUUAAUGUGUUCCUUUAUGAUUAGUGGGGUUUUUUGACCUGCUUAAAUUAGCCUUACUUUCUCACUUUUGCAUUUUUAAAAGUAUUAUUGACUUUAUAAUUAAAACAUGAAACGCCGGUAGCAGCUGACCCCGUGGGCCUCACAGUGCUUGUCUCAGCAUGCACAGUUCCUUGUAUAAAAAUGUCAAGUCCCCCAGUUCUCCAGGCCUGGCACCUCUGGCCCAGCUUGGCCCAGGAAAGAGCCACCUGCCAGGCACCCGCAUAAGAAGAGCCUCUGCACAGUUUGGGGGUGAUGGGGAAGGUGUGGGAGACCAGUUCUAACCAUAAAGCCAUUGAGAAGAAAUUUCUAAAGUUGGAGGCUGAAAAUACUCACAGGAAAGAAAUCUCUGUUCAGGGAACCAGAAGGGUGUACAAAGGGCCCUUCACAAAAGCAGUCCCUAACAGCCAAUGUGCACCUGGGCCCCACAGGUGGCAGCCAGUGCCCUGUGAGGUCUCGGCAAUUCAGAAGGAAGCAAAGGCCCUCUGAGACCCUGCGCUUCACAGACAAGGUCUGUCUCCUGGUGACCUUUAGGUUGAAGGGUCCAGAGGACGCUGCCCUUCCAUUGCUUCUUGGAUGAGGCCCCUUCAUCGAUUCUUCUCCCUUCCAGCCUCGAGGUAACAAAGUGCUGGCAGACUCCUGGUUUCACCUGCAUCAAAUGACUGCAGCCCUCCCCACGUGGCACCCAGACCCUCCCCUCUCCUCUCCAUACCUGGCCACUUGCUGACCCAUUAGUCUCGCCUCCCAUCUUGACCCCAGUAAUUGACUGAUGAAGUGCCUGAGCAAGGAUGUGCCCACGCCAUGGGUCCCUCUCCCAGUAGACAGGCCCACCCCACCAGGGAUGCUGCUCCAUCAUGGUGCCCACUCCCCAGAUCCUGUCCCACCUCACACUCCACCAUGCCCCCAGAUCCUGCCUUGCACAUGUGACUGGCCAUUGGCAGGUUCCUGACAUACCAACGGGAUCUCCCUGCCCACCCCAGAGGCCCCCAAGGAUGGAGGUGGCAUCCAAUUUGCUGACCACAGCCUCUGGACUUUAUUCCAGCCCCAGGCCUUGGCCAGGGGUAAGCAGCUGGCUGGAGAGCCACGCCCAGACUCCAUGCUGGAAGGAAGGGGAAGCUAGGGAUGGGGUUGGGCAAGGCUGCCAACCAGGUCAGCUGUAGCUGCCAGGGUCCGUGUUGUCUGGCAGAAAGUAUCGCUGCAGGGUGGGCUGCAGGAGCAGUGGGGGCAGCGGACGGGCAGGUCUGGGCCAGCCUGGGGGGAAAGGCUGCAGUUCCACCCGUGGAAGUGGCAGCUUCAGCAUCCGGAUGGGGCCGUCAAGGGUGCGGCCUGCCCAGAGCCUGGAAACCAUCUGGCCUGGGGGCCAGCAUGACAGUGAGGGCUUGGUGUGGGGUUGAUAUCAGUGGGACCUGGGCUGGGGUAGAGGUCAGCUCCAAUUCUACCCCUGUCCCACUCACCCUUCAGUCUCAUUGGAGACCCCUGGACCUUGCCCUCCUGAAGCCGGAAGAAGGGGUAGUGCCUGGUGGGUAAGAAGGUGGGUUUGGCUCAGCCUGCCUCUCAGCCGCCCCAUGUAGGCCCGGCCCCAGCCUGUGCCUGGAGCCUUGAGGCCCACUCACCGCUGAUCCCGGGGCUGUGGCACCACUGUGUCGGGCACCUGUGGGUACAGGCUCAGCUGUGCACUCAGGCGCAGGCUCUUGGUCUCAGGCAGGGAGCUUUGCUGCCGUGCCUGCUGCUUGCAGAAGAAGUUGAGCGCAUCGAUUGUCUCCAGGUCCAGCAUGUGCACCUGUGACCACCGUGUCUGCUCCAGUGGCAGUGGCUCAUUGGGCAGUGUGGCCAGUGCCAAGGAGUGCAAGUGGACCCCAGGCAAGGAGAAGUGUGGCAGUAUCUCAGAGAUCCUGCGUCUCGUCGGACAAACACGUAGCUGUGAGAGCAUCUGCUGAGCCUGGCCCUCUGGGGUGGCCAAGUUUGGCUCCCCAGGCGAGACCACCAGUGAGGACAUCCGGGAUUGAACAGAGGGUGUCACAGAGAUGUGAAUGGGCAUCCCAGAGACCAUCGAAAUCUGUGAUAGGCCCUCCUUGGGAGGAGAGGGAAGUGCUGAGGUCUCAGAGAUCUUGGAUGGCAUCUCAGACAGCUGCAGGAUUUCCAUCUGUGGAGGAGGUGGCAAGUCCAGAACAUACCCCAGCCCAAGGCAGAGGCUGCCCCUCCCCCAACAAGUAGGUCCAAGUGGUGCUGCCUCUGGUUCCAAGCCUGAGACCCCGCUGCAGGCUCCCUCCCUGGGAAGAGCAUGAAGAUCCCAAGAGAGGGGGAUCAUGGAGGACAAAUGAUGCACAGAGCUGGAACGAGGCAAGGAGCCUGUCAGCCUCACCAGGCUCUCCCCGCUGGACUUGGGGAAAGCCUUGGGAGAAGGCAAGAGGCACCACUGGCAGGCGGCCCGCCCCACCCCUGCCAGCCCAGACCUGUAGCUGCUGGAUCAUUUCCUCCAGCUUCUGGCAGCAGCAUUUGCGCAGUGUGGCCUUGGAGUCGAGGUCCUGGCUGUGGACCCAGGUCAUCAUGUCCUUAAACAGGAAGCCCUGUGGGUCCUGGAGGCCUAGCGCAUCCAGCAGCUUCUUGAGCUCAGGCCUGGGACAGGUGUGGGUGGAUUAUCUGGCAGCCUCCCCCAGCUGGCAAGAAGGUGGGGUAGAGAGUGGGACUCACUGGCAGGAGGCUGGUGAGUAGAGGAAGAAGGACAUGAGUUCCAGCACCGCCUCGCGGGACUCCAUGGAGCAGGCCAUGAGCACCUGCAGUGCCAGCAUCACAAAGUGCUUCUGUGUCCUGUCCUGAGCGCAGAGGAGGGGAGCCUGAUGGGUGCUGAAAGCCCUGGGUGGGGCUGGCGGGGCGGGACUAGGGGCACACCUCGAAGCUGGGGGGCUGGUCCAGGUUGAGCAAGCGCAGGAGGAUGCCCUGCAGCCGGCUACAGAGGUCUUUGCUCAUAUCAGGCAGCAGCCUCAGCAGUGCCUGCAGGAUGUACACACGGUCCGCCCAGGAGGCCUCUUUCAGCAGGACUCAACCCCCAGCCCUGGAGCAGGGACGUCUAUAAGAAGCAUGGGGUGGUGGGUAGGAGCUUGGAGAGGGAGCUGUCGAGGGCUUGGGUAGACGCUGCAGCAGCUAGAAGGAUCAGUGACCCACCUGAGCAGGUAAGAAUGCCAGAUAGGUGGUCGGGGAGGGGCCGAGGCCUGUCUGGGCAUCUGAGGUGGGAGAAUAUGGGGAGCUGGUGGGAUUGCAAGGGGUCAGCUCCCGUUGAAUUUGCUCCCCUGAAGAAGGGGACUCUGGUCUCCCAGAUAAAGUCCACAGGAGACUCGCCCCCCCAGCACUUUCACUGAAGGGGGUAAUACAGGCCCAACCAGCUGGCAGAGGCUCUGUCUCCCUACCCCUCCACCCCCCAGUCUGUGCUUCCCAGGCCUCCGAGACUCCGAGACUUGCCCAGUGUUGGCUCUGAGAGUCCCUGGCCCCAUGGCAGCCGGCUCCCAGGGCGCAAGGAGUCAGGGCCCACAGAAGAAGCAGCAUGGAAACUGGGCCAGGUGGGGUGGAGGAGGGCUGCAGGUGAGCAUGGCCCUCAGGUCAGAUUUGGACACAAAGGUUUGCAGCAGAAGGAAGAUGGGGAGCACAAGAAGGGUGCCCCCUGAGGGAGGUGCCUCUAAGGAGAGCAAGGGGGUCUCACCUUGUAGGACUGAAUGGUGGCAGGAAAGAAGCCCCCAAGGUUGGAGAGAAGCUCCCUGGGCCGCCUCUUCUGAAGCAGGGGGAUCUGAGGACAGGACAGAGGCUCAGAGCUGAGCAUGGACCCCAGUGUCCCUGCAGCUCUGCCCUUGGGUGGGCAGCACCCCACCUGCCUUGGCCCCUCACCUUGUUCUGCAGGUGGGAGGAGGAUGGGUCCAAGGCCAUAGGCUUCUCCGGGUGGAACUGCUCUGACUGCAGUUGCCGGUCCAGACUGAGGCCCAGCUCACAGCUCAGGGAGGAGCGGGCCAGCAGCUGGGGCAUGGGAGGAGGAGUCAUAGUAUGAGGGACAGAGGGCACAAGGUGAGGGUGAGGGGUGGGAGGCCUCACCUGGGAUGCCAUGCUGUGCACCCUCCGGAGGAUGGGUGGUAUGGGCAAGGUGAUUCGGGGAGGGCGUGCAAAGCCCCGGCCCAGGGCCCCUAGGCCCUGUGGGGGCAAGGCUGUUGGGGUGUCAGUGCAGACCCCAGCCUGCCCAAGACUGGGGACAACUCUGGGCAGGGUGCACACAUCGCAGGUCUCUCUCUCCAUUGCAAGGGUCACGAUGCUGCACUCUUGGGACUCUCUUUCAGAAUGAAUGCCCUGGGAGGGGUGGAAGGACAGAGAGGCAGUGUCAGAGGCCCAGGGUGAAG